Molecule: long non-coding RNA, 230 nt
Filed under: Elaeis guineensis (African oil palm)
Lineage: Eukaryota; Viridiplantae; Streptophyta; Magnoliopsida; Arecales; Arecaceae
Description: long non-coding RNA (EGUI_LNC053797)
Source: RNAcentral
GGGCCAUUAUUCAAGCUAAGGAACCUAGGUCUCAUCAAAAUCCAAGCACAUCUUCAGACACUUCCACCUCAUUCGAAAAAUUAUAGAGAGAUAAAAUAUUAUCCUUGAACGAGUUGAUAUAAAGAACAAAAAAGCAGACCCAUUCACUAAGGUCAUACCAUAGUAGCUAUUUGAUCGUCAUCUUGAUUGUAUGAGAUUGAAAUACAAAUGCGAUUAGCUUUAGUGUAAGU